Long non-coding RNA from Pleuronectes platessa (European plaice), 461 nucleotides. RefSeq lists it as uncharacterized. Lineage: Eukaryota; Metazoa; Chordata; Actinopteri; Pleuronectiformes; Pleuronectidae. The transcript is spliced from 4 exons. The record is from RefSeq and is a predicted model, not a curated record.
CUCACCCACUGAACACAUGCUUAGACUCACAGCUGAGACAAAGUGUCGGAAGACAAUAAGACCAAUGUGCACGCUCCCUCUGCAGUGGACAGGGACAACUCAGGACACGGGACUCUGGGUGAAAACUGAACCUCUCUGAACCGAUGAAAGCAGACAAUCAGCACUGAUAUGGCUGUACACGUCCCUGAUGGCUGUAUGGAGUGCUGCUGACUGGAAGCUGGAUGAACCUUCAUGAAGAGGAAGGAUAAAAUCACUGCGAAAGGCAAGAUCGCUUUCAUAAAGUUAGAAGACAAAAAACCAGAUGGAUAACUCUUCUUUACCUUCAAUUCAAACGUUGAGAAUAGUCCAAUACAGAGCUGGUAUUAAAGGGGACAUAUUAUGAGAAUUCCACUUUUGUAUUGCUUCUACACGUUAAUUUUGGUAUCUGGCAUGUCUACCGACCCAAAAACUAUGGAAAAAAA